RNAcentral lists this non-coding RNA (31 nucleotides) under Rattus norvegicus (Norway rat). The record is from RNAcentral. Lineage: Eukaryota; Metazoa; Chordata; Mammalia; Rodentia; Muridae.
UGAGAGAACCCACUGUGUUCUCGGCCUUAAG